CAGGGGACGUUUUGUUUUACAGUUUCAUAGAGGCGCCAUUGUUUUCUAUUGCUCUCAAAAACAGCAUAUCAACUUGAAGUUACUCCCAGACUUACAAGUCUGCUCAGGAAUGGAUGGUGUGCUUCACCUCGCUUGCUGAUUCAUAUUUUGAUGAUACUUUCGAGGGAGACAAGGAAGAGAGGUUACAAAAUGAAGACUUUCAUUCUUUUAUAUUUUCUAGGACUAACUUGCAACAAGGUCUCUGCAAAUGGCAACUCAACAAAAGUCUACUAUAUGGUACUGAGGACUGAGGCGUCCAUACCGGACAACCGUAUUAAUGCUAUACUCAAAUCUUUUAAAAUGGACAAUCCUGUGAGUGUUGACACCCUUAACGUCACAACAGAUUGUGUCCCUCUUCAAAACAAAACUCAGUGCAAAUGCACACCAGGGCAUAUCUGGAGUGUUGCAGUGUGUCAGUCUUCACCUAACUGUUGUAAACAAAAAAACUGCACAUUUGAAACCACAGAAACAAAACCAAUGUGUCUCCCUGAAACAAGUGUGUGUGUGUGUGUGUGUGUGU
Long non-coding RNA from Oncorhynchus tshawytscha (Chinook salmon), 559 nucleotides. The record is from Ensembl. Lineage: Eukaryota; Metazoa; Chordata; Actinopteri; Salmoniformes; Salmonidae.